Molecule: ribosomal RNA, 271 nt
Filed under: uncultured prokaryote
Description: partial 16S ribosomal RNA
Rfam family: Bacterial small subunit ribosomal RNA
Source: RNAcentral
UACGUAGGUGGCAAGCGUUAUCCGGAAUUAUUGGGCGUAAAGAGCGCGCAGGUGGUUGAUUAAGUCUGAUGUGAAAGCCCACGGCUUAACCGUGGAGGGUCAUUGGAAACUGGUCGACUUGAGUGCAGAAGAGGGAAGUGGAAUUCCUAGUGUAGCGGUGAAAUGCGUAGAUAUUAGGAGGAACACCAGUUGCGAAGGCGGCUCUCUGGACUGUAACUGACACUGAGGCACGAAAGCGUGGGGAGCAAACAGGAUUAGAUACCCGGGUAGU